CCUACGGGGGGCUGCAGUGGGGAAUUUUGCGCAAUGCUCGUAAGAGUGACGCAGCGACGCCGCGUGAAUGACGAAGGCCUUCGGGUCGUAAAGUUCUUUCGACAGGGAAGAAAAUGCCUAUAAGUAACUGUGUAUGUAUUGACGGUACCUGUAUAAGCAGCCCCGUCUAACUCCGUGCCAGCAGCCGCGGUAAUACGGAGGGGGCGAGCGUUGUUCGGAGGGACUGGGCGUAAAGAGCACGUAGGCGGUGUUGUAAGUCAUUAGUCAAAGACUAGAGCUCAACUUUAGUAAGGCUAGUGAUACUAUAAUACUAGAGUAUCAGAGAGGAUUGCAGAAUUCCUGGUGUAGCGGUGAAAUGCGUAGAUAUCAGGAGGAAUACCGUUAGCGAAGGCGGCAAUCUGGCUGGAAACUGACGCUGAGGUGCGAAAGCGUGGGUAGCAAACAGGAUUAGAUACCCCUGUAGUC
RNAcentral lists this ribosomal RNA (465 nucleotides) under uncultured bacterium. Its description in RNAcentral is "partial 16S ribosomal RNA". It matches the Rfam family "Bacterial small subunit ribosomal RNA", at positions 338 to 795 of the family's 1533-position model. The record is from RNAcentral.